This 441-nucleotide ribosomal RNA is filed under the name Tachypleus gigas (Indo-Pacific horseshoe crab). Its description in RNAcentral is "partial 16S ribosomal RNA". It matches the Rfam family "Bacterial large subunit ribosomal RNA", at positions 1925 to 2589 of the family's 2925-position model. Lineage: Eukaryota; Metazoa; Arthropoda; Merostomata; Xiphosura; Limulidae. The record is from RNAcentral.
AAAUGGCVGCGGUAUAUUGACCGUGCGAAGGUAGCAUAAUCGUUUGCUUUUUCGCCGAAGGCUAUAAUGAAUGAUUGGACGAGAAAAGCCUGUCUUAAUUUUAAAUUUUAAAUUUUACUUUUUAGUGAAAAAGGUAAAAUUUUAUUAAGGGACGAGAGGACCCUAUUAAGCUUUAUUUUUGUUUGUUUUUUAUUAUGUUUUUCGUUAUAAAAAAUGGAAGGAAUUUUACUGGGGCGGUAGAGAAAGAAGGGAAUCUUUUUUUAGAGAUUAAAACAUUUAUGUAAAUUUUUGAUCCAUUAUUAAUGAUAAGAAGAAGAAGUUACUAUAGGGAUAACAGCGUAAUUUUUUCGGAGAGUUCAUAUCGGCGAAGAAGUUUGCGACCUCGAUGUUGAAUUAAGAAGUCAAUAGGGCGAAGAAGUUCUUAUCAUUGGGCAGACCAGA